ACAAAUCAUCUUAUGAGUCUUCAGAUAUGGUUGGUGUGCAAUUGUCUUGAGGCAUAACCUGGUGACUCCCUCUCAGGUGAAUAUGUGGAAAAUGAAACAUGGAUGCUUCUUGGAAUCCUAGAAAGAGGUGUGUAGAGGUAUGAGUUGGGUGGUACCAUGACUCUUUUGGAUUCUUAAGUUGUUUGCUUCGUUUUAGGACUUUAGUUUUCCCAAGCUCCAUCUUGGAUGUAAUUUCUAAAGCCUUCAGUUCUCUUGUCCCUUGUAGAAAAUCUAACACAUAACGUCUCACUUCAAUAUGACAGCCCCAAAGUUUUCUUCAAAAGUUCAUUUUCUUUCACUUAUGUGCAAGAUUUUGUAGAUUAUUUUUUAUAUCAGUACCCGUACAACUAUUCAACAUGAAUAUUCCUAAAGCAUAUGAUGAGCCUUAGGUAAUUUCAAUUGGAACUCUCCACCAUGAAAAUCAUGGUUUCAAAGCCACCAAAGAGCUUAAGCUCCCUUUUCUUAAUAGCUAUCUAUGUCGCAUAAAUGUGAGCGUUCAAGGCAUUGUGGAAAUGGCUCGAAGUUGGAAUACAAAGAAAGUCGUUCCACCCAUAGCUGCUUCUUGCUGAGAUAGAUUCUGGUCAAUCACACUUAAUUAUCUAAUUUAUAAACUUUUGAAAACUUUGUUUAUUUGAUUUUCCUUUUUAUAUUUGGUAGUAUCCUUUAGCAAAGGAACAAAUUAACCCCUGCUGUUGUACCAACAAAUUUUGACAGAACACAAUAAACUCCUCUCUAUCCCUUUCUCAUUUUCAACCCCUGCCUUUUCUUUUUACCCAAAAAAAAGAAAAAGAAAUGUAACUCUCUUUUAUAUAACCUCUUCUCUAACUUUCUCAAGAAAAUUCUUAAGUGGAUUUGUAAGAUUAAUGGUUUUUGUUAAAAAAUAGAGUAAUGUAAUCUAUUAACUAAUCAAAUGGUACAAAGUUUAACAUGGUAUCAGUUCAGAUAGUGAGCAACAAAAUGACAGAUUGUUAGAUGUAUAUAUCUCAGUAACUUAGAGUGUUAAGAACUUUAAUAUGUCAUCAAGCUUUUGAUUUCUUAUCAUGUUUGCUGGCUGGCUGUGGAUAUAUAUUUAGCAUUCAGUAGAAAUUUCAGGACAUGGGUGGGUAAAAAAAAGUUUCCUGAUUUUUAUCUGCUCUUCAUGAGAAAAAAAAAAUGCAAGAGGGGCUUAAGGAAUGAACUAGGAUUAGGAAAACCACAAAUUUUUUUCCCUUUUUUUCACAACGACCAACUGAACAGAAACUCUAUCUCCAUUAAUGAGUGAAUAUUUAUAAGCCAAAGAUCUGAAACUGAUGCACAGUUCAUUAUUUGAACUUCCUUCAAAAACUAUCUAAAAAUCUAAUCUUGCUCUUGGACUUACCUCUGGAGACAUGUACUCCAUUUGGAUUGUAAAACUAAUUGUCGAAUUAACUAAUCUAUGUAAUCUAAUAUAUUGUCUACAAAGAUAGAUUGUAAAAACUCAAGAUGGAUCAUUUACUGAUCUACUCACUUACCUUCUCUGUAUUUUGUUUAUUCAAAGACAUGGGCCAAACUUAUUCAACUACAGUGUCUCUAUGUUACGAGACUUAUGACUAAUGACAAGUAUUACAAUUUUCUUUCUUUUUUAUUUUUUGUAGUAUGACUAAUAUUGACUUCAAUAACUCUUUGCUCCACAUGGGCUACGUGACUUCAAGUGUGAAGAAGUAACUAGUAGCUGGGAGGUAGUUAUACAUGUCAUUGAAUUGGGAUAUACUUUGUUUUUUUUUUACUGCAGAACUCUUGUACUCAAACUGAUGUUUUAUUGAUUUUCCAAUAUCAGAUUGUGUAUAUGACUAUUAAAUUUCCCAAUCAUUUUCCAAUAACUCAAAAGAACGUCUGUUCUUGCUGCUAUGAAUCUAUAGAAUGAGAAAUACUUAGGGACGUGCAUAAUAAUAAUGCUUGAGAAUUAGCUUGCUUUCUUUGUUCUUCAAGCUAUAUAUGACCAGCUAGUUUCUUCCAACAAACAUGACCAAGGUUGGGAUGAUGGAAGAAGAUGGUGUUCGAAAAAUGAAAGGAAGGAGGAAGAGCAUACUUAGCUACGAAAAUCGGAGGAGUGGAUAGCAAAUUAGAGAGAUGGAGAGAGUUUUCGUGAAAGGGGAAAGGUAAUUUCAUAAGUAACCAAAUAGUAAAAAGUUUUCUUCCAUUCUAAACAUUAUACUACA
RNAcentral lists this long non-coding RNA (2216 nucleotides) under Cucumis sativus (cucumber). RNAcentral's name for it is "long non-coding RNA (CSAT_LNC002443)". Lineage: Eukaryota; Viridiplantae; Streptophyta; Magnoliopsida; Cucurbitales; Cucurbitaceae. The record is from RNAcentral.